This is a non-coding RNA of Debaryomyces hansenii CBS767, 84 nucleotides long. Lineage: Eukaryota; Fungi; Ascomycota; Pichiomycetes; Serinales; Debaryomycetaceae. The record is from the annotation of a RefSeq genome assembly.
GUUACAGUGGCCGAGUGGUUAAGGCGACGCCCUGCUAUUAGGCGUUGGGUUUUACCUGCGCAGGUUCGAAUCCUGUCUGUGACG